AUGGCGAUCUCACUCCUCCUCACCCAGCUGCCCCAGCAGUGGCACCUCUUCCUCCUAGCCGGCCUCCUCCUCCCAGUCUUCUCCUACCUGCUGCUGAUGACGAGGCGCGGCCCUGAGGAAAGAGGGUUGAGGCUGCCGCCGCGUCCGGCGGGGGUGCCGGUGCUCGGCAACCUGCACCAGCUAGGCCCGCUGCCACACUGCAGCUUGCGCGACCUGGCCGGGCGGCACGGUCCCGUCAUGCUCGUCCGCCUCGGCGCGGCGCGAGCGGUGGUGGUUUCCUCCGCGUCGGCGGCGCGCGACGUGAUGAGGGCCCACGACGCCGACUGCUGCAGCCGACCCGCGUCGCCAGGCCCCGCGCACCUCUCCUACGGCCGGAAGAGCGUCGCCUUCUCGCCCUACGGCGCCUACUGGCGCGGCAUGCGCAGGCUCCUCGCCGCCGAGCUCGUUGGGGCGCGUGGCGUCGGCGCCGCCUGGGCCGCGCGGCGGGAGCAGGUGGACAGGCUCAUGUCUGCCCUGGGCAACGCGGCGGAACCGGUGGCGUUGGACGAGCACGUAAUCCGCGUCGCCGACGGCAUCAUCGGCACGGUGGCGUACGGGAGCGUGUACGGCGCGGAGGCGUUCGCGAGCAAGUACGAGCGGUUCCAGCACGUGCUGUUCGAGGGCAUGGCCAUGUCGGCAAGCUUCUCGGCCGAGGACUUCUUCCCCAACGCCGCCGGCCGCCUCGUCGACCGGCUCGUCGGCGUGGUCGCGCGGCGGGAGAGGAUCUUCAGAGACCUGGACGGCUUCUUCGAGGAGGUGCUGGAUCAUCACCUGGACCCCGCGCGCCGCAGGUCGGAGAGCGGCGGCGGCGGCGACCUCGUGGACGCCCUCGUCGGCCUCUGCGAGGAGCAUGGGUUCACGACGGACCACGUCAAGGCCGUGCUCGUGGACGCGUUCCUCGGCGGCAUCGACACGAGCUCCGUGACGAUCCUGUGGGCGAUGUCGGAGCUCAUGAGGAAGCCGCGCGCGCUGAAGACGGCGCAGGAGGAGAUCCGGGCCGCGGUCGCCGGCAACGGCAGCAAGGAGCUGCCGCGCGUGCAGCCGGACGACCUGCCCAAGCUGACGUACCUGAGGAUGGUCGUCAAGGAGACGCUGCGGCUGCACCCGCCGGCGACGCUGCUGCUGCCGCGGGAGACGCUGCGGCGGGUGGAGAUCGGCGGGUACGAGGUGCCGGCGGGGACGCGGGUGCUGGUGAACGCGUGGGCGAUCGGGAGGGAGGCGGCGAGCUGGGGGCCGGACGCGGAGGAGUUCGAGCCGGAGAGGUUCGAGGCGGGCGGGAGGCACGGCAAGGUGGACUUCCGCGGGGCGCACAUGGAGCUGGUGCCGUUCGGCGCCGGGCGGCGGAUCUGCCCGGGGCUGGCCAUGGGCGUGGCGAACGUGGAGUACACUCUGGCCAACAUGCUGUGCGGCUUCGAGUGGGCGGUGCCGGAGGGGGAGGAGGUGAGCAUGGAGGAGGCCGGCGCGCUGAACUUCCACCGCAAGACGCCGCUGGUGCUCCUGCCCACCCCAUACGCACCGCCGGCGUGUGAGUAA
This 1572-nucleotide ribosomal RNA is filed under the name Triticum aestivum (bread wheat). RNAcentral describes it as "partial small subunit ribosomal RNA". The record is from RNAcentral. Lineage: Eukaryota; Viridiplantae; Streptophyta; Magnoliopsida; Poales; Poaceae.